GGGGCCGGUUAGAUUGGUUGAAAGGGACAUGGAGACCAGAAGGGCUUCUUUCCAGUUCCUUCUUUGUGGGGAACAUUGGGAUCAGAGAGGGUUCUAAGCUCAUUUCAGAAGCCCCAACAUACUUAAAUGAACAUGGCUAGAAAAACUGAAGAUUGAAUUUACUAAUCAUUCCUUGCUUCUCAUUUGUCUCAGGAUUAAGCUUUGGAGGGUGGAGAAUAACCCAGUUGAAAAUCUACAAGCAAUGCUGUCCACAUCCCAAAUAGACUGGUCAAAAAGCCUUCAUCCCGUCAGUCACUGACAUCAACUUCAUCCAAAUCAGACUCCUAAAAACCCGGCCUAACUUAUGUGUCAUGCAAAGGAUGGCUCUUGGAAAAAUGCAAAGAAGCAGGGGCCGCUAAGGGAGAGAUGUGAAGGUCAAGGAAGCUCUGAGCUCCUGACAGCCGCCCUUCCAGCCUUCUCCUGCCUUCCAUAGAGAGAUGCUAUGGACUCUUGGUCCAGAGACUCAAAUUCAAGGAAAAGAAGAGGCAACAUUUGCAGUGUUGAUCCUUGAGUUGAACAAAGAGUGGUCAGGAGAAGAAACCAACAAGAAAUGUAACCUACCUCCAGAACUCAGGAACUCAGGUACCCUUAAGGAUAUCAGAAACAAUGAAAUAUGGAUUGGCAGAAGCAUCUUCACCACCAUCUUCAGAUGUAAUUAAUGCAGCUGUUGAAUUUGGUUGACUAUCCACCUAUAAUUACCACAUUGCCCAUUACAGAUUUUUGCUGCCUUUUCUUGCCUCCUUUUCAUUUUUACAUCCACUUAUUCCCUACAGAAAUGACAGAUAAUCAGCAUUUUUGUUUUCUUGUUAUGUUGUCCUGAUAGUACAGCUACAAAUGGAUUUGAUGUGCUGAAUAAUGGUCUACUAGGCCUAAAAAUGAAAGUCUAGACCCUUAGUCAAAAAUAACUUGGAUCUAUGUGGUACCAAGAAAAGAGGAAUUAUAAGAAAAAGAAUAUUAGUUUAAUGUUCUGUAAAUUUUUUUCUUAACCUAUUCUGUCCAGUAUUUACUACUUGGCUGCAUUCCUAAAACAUAAAUUUCACAGGGGCAGGAGUCUUUGUCCAUUUUGCUCAUUAAUGUGUUAGGAAUACUAAAAAGAGUGUCUAGCGGGGUAGUCACAUAAUAAAUACCUGUUGCAUGAACAAA
Molecule: long non-coding RNA, 1182 nt
Filed under: Homo sapiens (human)
Lineage: Eukaryota; Metazoa; Chordata; Mammalia; Primates; Hominidae
Description: long intergenic non-protein coding RNA 2654
Source: RNAcentral